This 97-nucleotide Y RNA is filed under the name Cebus imitator (Panamanian white-faced capuchin). RNAcentral's name for it is "Y RNA (ENSCCAG00000014517.1)". It matches the Rfam family "Y RNA". From Rfam's summary of the family: Y RNAs are components of the Ro ribonucleoprotein particle (Ro RNP), in association with Ro60 and La proteins. The record is from Rfam by way of RNAcentral. Lineage: Eukaryota; Metazoa; Chordata; Mammalia; Primates; Cebidae.
GGCUGGUCCAAAGGUAGUAAGUUAUCUCGAUUGUUUAUAGUCAGCUACAGAUCGAACUCCUUAUUUUACUUUCACUACUGCACUUGACUACUGUAAU